AUGGGGGAAGUACUGCAAGUACUUUUUCUAGCAGGGCUUUUUCUAGCAGGGCUGGCAAAUGCUGUGGCACAAGUCGAUCCCGAAGACAUUAAGAUGACCAUAAAGAGCAGAAAUGGUGAAGUAGUUGACUGCGUUGACAUAUACAAGCAACCGAGCCUCAACAACCCUUUGCUGAAGGACUUGAAGCACCAGGCGUCUUUUCAGUUCCUGAAAGCUGUGCUCACAUUGUGA
RNAcentral lists this ribosomal RNA (231 nucleotides) under Triticum aestivum (bread wheat). RNAcentral describes it as "partial small subunit ribosomal RNA". Lineage: Eukaryota; Viridiplantae; Streptophyta; Magnoliopsida; Poales; Poaceae. The record is from RNAcentral.